AUUGAACGCUGGCGGCAGGCCUAACACAUGCAAGUCGAGCGAGUGGCGGACGGGUGAGUAAUGCCUGGGAAACUCGCUUAUGGAGGGGGAUAACUACGGGAAACUGUAGCUAAUACCGCAUACCAUAAGAUGAGCCCAAGUGGGAUUAGGUAGUUGGUGGGGUAACGGCUCACCAAGGCGACGAUCCCUAGCUGGUCUGAGAGGAUGACCAGCCACACUGGGACUGAGACACGGUCCAGACUCCUACGGGAGGAAGCAGUGGGGAAUAUUGCGCAAUGGGGGCAACCCUGAUGCAGCCAUGCCGCGUGAAUGAAGAAGGCCUUCGGGUUGUAAAGUACUUUCGGUAGGGAGGCGUUACCUACAGAAGAAGCACCGGCUAACUCCGUGCCAGCAGCCACGGUAAUAC
This 406-nucleotide ribosomal RNA is filed under the name uncultured bacterium. Its description in RNAcentral is "partial 16S ribosomal RNA". It matches the Rfam family "Bacterial small subunit ribosomal RNA", at positions 30 to 526 of the family's 1533-position model. The record is from RNAcentral.